This 253-nucleotide ribosomal RNA is filed under the name uncultured bacterium. RNAcentral describes it as "partial 16S ribosomal RNA". It matches the Rfam family "Bacterial small subunit ribosomal RNA", at positions 524 to 776 of the family's 1533-position model. The record is from RNAcentral.
UACGUAGGUGGCAAGCGUUGUCCGGAAUUACUGGGUGUAAAGGGAGCGCAGGCGGGAAGCUAAGUCAGCUGUGAAAACUACGGGCUUAACUUGUAGACUGCAGUUGAAACUGGUUUUCUUGAGUGAAGUAGAGGUUGGCGGAAUUCCGAGUGUAGCGGUGAAAUGCGUAGAUAUUCGGAGGAACACCGGUGGCGAAGGCGGCCAACUGGGCUUUAACUGACGCUGAGGCUCGAAAGUGUGGGGAGCAAACAGG